GACGUAGGGCGCGAGCGUUGUCCGGAUUUAUUGGGCGUAAAGAGCUCGUAGGCGGCUUGUCGCGUCGAAUGUGAAAACUCGGGGGCUCAACUCCGAGCUUGCAUUCGAUACGGGCAGGCUAGAGUUCGGUAGGGGAGACUGGAAUUCCUGGUGUAGCGGUGAAAUGCGCAGAUAUCAGGAGGAACACCGGUGGCGAAGGCGGGUCUCUGGGCCGAUACUGACGCUGAGGAGCGAAAGCGUGGGGAGCGAACAGG
This 254-nucleotide ribosomal RNA is filed under the name uncultured bacterium. RNAcentral's name for it is "partial 16S ribosomal RNA". It matches the Rfam family "Bacterial small subunit ribosomal RNA", at positions 524 to 776 of the family's 1533-position model. The record is from RNAcentral.